GGGACACUAGUAAAAAAGCCAUUGCACUGCAUUGUCAAGGCAGAGUUGUAGGUUAAACUCCUGCGUGUCCCUAACCUAAUGGCACACCCUUCACAACUCGGAUUCCAAGACGCAGCCUCCCCCGUAAUAGAAGAACUACUUCACUUCCACGACCACGCAUUAAUGAUCGUCCUUCUAAUCAGCACCUUUGUCCUUUAUAUCCUAGUAGCAAUGGUUUCCACAACACUCACAGAUAAGUAUAUCUUGGACUCCCAAGAGAUUGAAAUCAUCUGAACUGUUCUCCCAGCUGUAAUUCUUAUCCUAAUUGCCCUCCCCUCCCUUCGCAUCCUAUAUCUUAUGGACGAAAUUAGCGACCCGCACCUAACAAUCAAAGCGAUAGGCCAUCAAUGAUACUGAAGCUACGAAUAUACCGACUACGAAGACCUUGGGUUUGACUCCUACAUGGUCCCCACACAAGACCUCACCCCCGGUCAAUUUCGCCUUUUGGAAGCCGACCACCGGAUAGUUAUCCCCGUUGAAUCCCCCAUCCGAAUUUUAGUUUCAGCCGAAGAUGUUCUUCACUCAUGGGCCGUACCUGCCCUCGGGGUAAAAAUAGACGCAGUGCCAGGACGACUAAACCAAACAGCCUUUAUUACCUCCCGCCCAGGGGUGUUCUACGGACAGUGCUCUGAAAUUUGCGGGGCCAAUCAUAGCUUCAUGCCCAUCGUAGUUGAAGCAGUACCCCUAGAGCACUUUGAAACAUGAUCCUCUUUAAUACUUGAAGACGCCUCACUAUGAAGCUAAAUUUAGGGGAUCAGCGUUAGCCUUUUAAGCUAAAGAAUGGUGGCUCCCAACCACCCCUAGUGACUUAUGCCUCAAUUAAACCCUAGCCCGUGAUUCGCGAUUUUAGUAUUUGCUUGGGCCAUCUUUCUAGUUGUGAUCCCUCCCAAAGUUCUUAGCCAUGUAUACCCCUACGACCCUGCAGCCCAAAACGUAGAAAAACCUGUGCACGCCUCCUGAUCCUGACCAUGAUACUAAACUUCUUCGACCAGUUUAUAAGCCCAACGCUCCUGGGUAUCCCUCUAAUUGUCCU
RNAcentral lists this transfer RNA (1072 nucleotides) under Lestidium atlanticum (Atlantic barracudina). RNAcentral describes it as "tRNA-Asp". The stretch from base 1 to 72 matches the Rfam family "tRNA". Lineage: Eukaryota; Metazoa; Chordata; Actinopteri; Aulopiformes; Paralepididae. The record is from RNAcentral.